RNAcentral lists this microRNA precursor (73 nucleotides) under Bombyx mori (domestic silkworm). Its description in RNAcentral is "mir-2807 microRNA precursor family". It matches the Rfam family "mir-2807 microRNA precursor family". The record is from Rfam by way of RNAcentral. Lineage: Eukaryota; Metazoa; Arthropoda; Insecta; Lepidoptera; Bombycidae.
UGAAAUUUUGUAUGGAGUUGGAACGUUUGCCUACGUUAGCCGCUAGGGGCGCUGUUCCAACUGCAUAGAGUUA